This 663-nucleotide ribosomal RNA is filed under the name Vibrio cholerae. Its description in RNAcentral is "partial 23S ribosomal RNA". It matches the Rfam family "Bacterial large subunit ribosomal RNA", at positions 2281 to 2925 of the family's 2925-position model. The record is from RNAcentral. Lineage: Bacteria; Pseudomonadati; Pseudomonadota; Gammaproteobacteria; Vibrionales; Vibrionaceae.
GGUCUCCUCCCAAAGAGUAACGGAGGAGCACGAAGGUGGGCUAAUCACGGUUGGACAUCGUGAGGUUAGUGCAAUGGCAUAAGCCCGCUUAACUGCGAGAAUGACGGUUCGAGCAGGUGCGAAAGCAGGUCAUAGUGAUCCGGUGGUUCUGUAUGGAAGGGCCAUCGCUCAACGGAUAAAAGGUACUCCGGGGAUAACAGGCUGAUACCGCCCAAGAGUUCAUAUCGACGGCGGUGUUUGGCACCUCGAUGUCGGCUCAUCACAUCCUGGGGCUGAAGUCGGUCCCAAGGGUAUGGCUGUUCGCCAUUUAAAGUGGUACGCGAGCUGGGUUUAGAACGUCGUGAGACAGUUCGGUCCCUAUCUGCCGUGGGCGUUGGAAGAUUGAAGGGGGCUGCUCCUAGUACGAGAGGACCGGAGUGGACGAACCUCUGGUGUUCGGGUUGUGUCGCCAGACGCAUUGCCCGGUAGCUAAGUUCGGAAUUGAUAAGCGCUGAAAGCAUCUAAGCGCGAAGCGAGCCCUGAGAUGAGUCUUCCCUGACAGUUUAACUGUCCUAAAGGGUUGUUCGAGACUAGAACGUUGAUAGGCAGGGUGUGUAAGCGUUGUGAGGCGUUGAGCUAACCUGUACUAAUUGCCCGUGAGGCUUAACCAUACAACACCCAAGG